AUUGAACGCUGGCGGCAGGCUUAACACAUGCAAGUCGAGCGGGGUGAUGGUGCUUGCACUAUCACUUAGCGGCGGACGGGUGAGUAAUGCUUAGGAAUCUGCCUAUUAGUGGGGGACAACAUCUCGAAAGGGAUGCUAAUACCGCAUACGUCCUACGGGAGAGAGCAGGGGAUCACUUGUGACCUUGCGCUAAUAGAUGAGCCUAAGUCGGAUUAGCUAGUUGGUGGGGUAAAGGCCUACCAAGGCGACGAUCUGUAGCGGGUCUGAGAGGAUGGCCAGCCACACUGGGACUGAGACACGGCCCAGACUCCUACGGGAGGCAGCAGUGGGGAAUAUUGGACAAUGGGGGGAACCCUGAUCCAGCCAUGCCGCGUGUGUGAAGAAGGCCUUAUGGUUGUAAAGCACUUUAAGCGAGGAGGAGGCUCUUUUGGUUAAUACCCAAGAUGAGUGGACGUUACUCGCAGAAUAAGCACCGGCUAACUCUGUGCCAGCCGCCGCGGUAA
This 503-nucleotide ribosomal RNA is filed under the name uncultured bacterium. RNAcentral describes it as "partial 16S ribosomal RNA". It matches the Rfam family "Bacterial small subunit ribosomal RNA", at positions 30 to 523 of the family's 1533-position model. The record is from RNAcentral.